CCUACGGGUGGCAGCAGUGAGGAAUAUUGGUCAAUGGACGAGAGUCUGAACCAGCCAAGUAGCGUGAAGGAUGACUGCCCUAUGGGUUGUAAACUUCUUUUAUAUGGGAAUAAAACGUUCCACGUGUGGGAUUUUGUAUGUACCAUAUGAAUAAGGAUCGGCUAACUCCGUGCCAGCAGCCGCGGUAAUACGGAGGAUCCGAGCGUUGUCCGGAUUUAUUGGGUGUAAAGGGAGCGUAGGUGGAUUGUUAAGUCAGUUGUGAAAGUUUGCGGCUCAACCGUAAAAGUGCAGUUGAAACUGGCAGUCUUGAGUACAGGAGAGGUGGGCGGAAUUCGUGGUGUAGCGGUGAAAUGCUUAGAUAUCACGAAGAACUCCGAUUGCGAAGGCAGUUCACUGGACUGCAACUGACGCUGAGGCUCGAAAGUGUGGGUAUCAAACAGGAUUAGAUACCCUUGUAGUC
This 460-nucleotide ribosomal RNA is filed under the name uncultured bacterium. RNAcentral's name for it is "partial 16S ribosomal RNA". It matches the Rfam family "Bacterial small subunit ribosomal RNA", at positions 338 to 795 of the family's 1533-position model. The record is from RNAcentral.